UAGGGGAUAUUGCACAAUGGGCGCAAGCCUGAUGCAGCAACGCCGCGUGGGCGAUGAAGGCCUUCGGGUCGUAAAGCCCUUUUAGAGGGGAUGAGGAAGGACAGUACCCUCUGAAUAAGCCUCGGCUAACUACGUGCCAGCAGCCGCGGUAAAACGUAGGAGGCGAGCGUUAUCCGGAUUUACUGGGCGUAAAGCGCGUGCAGGCGGUUUGGAAAGUUGGAUGUAAAAGCUCCUGGCUCAACUGGGAGAGGUCGUUCAAAACUACCGAACUAGAGUACAGUAGAGGGAAGUGGAAUUCCGGGUGUAGUGGUGAAAUGCGUAGAUAUCCGGAGGAACACCAGUGGCGAAAGCGGCUUCCUGGACUGUAACUGACGCUCAGACGCGAAAGCUAGGGUAGCAAACGGG
This 405-nucleotide ribosomal RNA is filed under the name uncultured bacterium. RNAcentral describes it as "bacterial SSU rRNA". It matches the Rfam family "Bacterial small subunit ribosomal RNA", at positions 355 to 776 of the family's 1533-position model. The record is from RNAcentral.